This 1347-nucleotide ribosomal RNA is filed under the name uncultured bacterium. RNAcentral describes it as "partial 16S ribosomal RNA". It matches the Rfam family "Bacterial small subunit ribosomal RNA", at positions 28 to 1382 of the family's 1533-position model. The record is from RNAcentral.
GACGAACGCUGGCGGCAUGCUUAACACAUGCAAGUCGAACGGAAAGGCCCUGCUUUUGUGGGGUGCUCGAGUGGCGAACGGGUGAGUAACACGUGAGUAACCUGCCCUUGACUUUGGGAUAACUUCAGGAAACUGGGGCUAAUACCGGAUAGGAGCUCCUGCUGCGUGGUGGGGGUUGGAAAGUUUCGGCGGUUGGGGAUGGACUCGCGGCUUAUCAGCUUGUUGGUGGGGUAGUGGCUUACCAAGGCUUUGACGGGUAGCCGGCCUGAGAGGGUGACCGGCCACAUUGGGACUGAGAUACGGCCCAGACUCCUACGGGAGGCAGCAGUGGGGAAUAUUGCACAAUGGGCGGAAGCCUGAUGCAGCAACGCCGCGUGCGGGAUGACGGCCUUCGGGUUGUAAACCGCUUUCGCCUGUGACGAAGCGUGAGUGACGGUAAUGGGUAAAGAAGCACCGGCUAACUACGUGCCAGCAGCCGCGGUGAUACGUAGGGUGCGAGCGUUGUCCGGGUUUAUUGGGCGUAAAGGGCUCGUAGGUGGUUGAUCGCGUCGGAAGUGUAAUCUUGGGGCUUAACCCUGAGCGUGCUUUCGAUACGGGUUGACUUGAGGAAGGUAGGGGAGAAUGGAAUUCCUGGUGGAGCGGUGGAAUGCGCAGAUAUCAGGAGGAACACCAGUGGCGAAGGCGGUUCUCUGGGCCUUUCCUGACGCUGAGGAGCGAAAGCGUGGGGAGCGAACAGGCUUAGAUACCCUGGUAGUCCACGCUGUAAACGGUGGGUACUAGGUGUGGGGUCCAUUCCACGGGUUCCGUGCCGUAGCUAACGCUUUAAGUACCCCGCCUGGGGAGUACGGCCGCAAGGCUAAAACUCUAAGGAAUUGACGGGGCCCCGCACAAGCGGCGGAGCAUGCGGAUUAAUUCGAUGCAACGCGUAGAACCUUACCUGGGUUUGACAUGGAUCGGGAGUGCUCAGAGAUGGGUGUGCCUCUUUUGGGGUCGGUUCACAGGUGGUGCAUGCCUGUCGUCAGCUCGUGUCGUGAGAUGUUGGGUUAAGUCCCGCAACGAGCGCAACCCUUGUUCACUGUUGCCAGCACGUUAUGGUGGGGACUCAGUGGAGACCGCCGGGGUCAACUCGGAGGAAGGUGGGGAUGACGUCAAGUCAUCAUGCCCCUUAUGUCCAGGGCUUCGCGCAUGCUACAAUGGCUGGUACAGAGAGUGGCGAGCCUGUGAGGGUGAGCGAAUCUCGGAAAGCCGGUCUCAGUUCGGAUUGGGGUCUGCAACUCGACCUCAUGAAGUCGGAGUCGCUAAUAAUCGCAGAUCAGCAACGCUGCGGUGAAUACGUUCCCGGGGCUA